UGCUUUGUAAAGUGUAAAGCCCGUUAGACUUUAAAAUAUCUUAUGAGAGAAGGCAGUGCUCGAGCAAGAGCAGUUAAGAGCAUGGAUUUUGGAGUCAGAGCAACUCGGGUUCAAGUUUGAUCCUGGCUGAUGUUGGGUGGUCGAUUCUGCUUGACGCUUGGGCAAGCUGGGGGACCAGGGUGUGGGGGUUUGAAGAGAGUAACUGAAUAAUGUCCACCCAAAGAUGUUCGUCUCCUAAUCUCCAGAACCUGUGAAGAUGUUACCUUACAUGCCGGAAGGAACUUUGCAGAUGUGAUUAAGUGAAGGAUCUUGAGUUGGGGAGAUUAUCUUGGAUUAUACUGCUGGGAUGGAAGCAGGAGGCUGAGUCAGAGAAGGAGAUAUUAGGACGGAAGCAGAGGUCAGAGAGAAAGAGAGAUUGGAAGAAUCUGCUCUGCUAGCUUUGAAGAUGGAGCCAGGGAAUGCAGACAGCCUCUAGAAGCUGAAAAAGGCAAAGAAAUGGCUUCUCCUCUCGAGACCCCAGAGAAAACACAGCUCUGCCGACGCCUUGAUUUUAGGAUUUCUGAUCUCCAGAACUGUAAGAUAACUGUGUGUCGUUUUAAGCCACUGAGUUUGUGGUAGUUUGUUACAACUGUAAUAGGAAAGUAAUACAGUCAAUAGUAAAGAUGAUAGUUAGUCUCCUGCUGCAUCCUCCUCUGUGUGGGACAGAAGGCUGCAGUUUAUUAGGCUCCCUCAAAGAUUACUGCAAUGUGAUUGUGACUUGAUGGAGGGAACUGCCACACCCAGAGGGAAACAUCCAAUAAGCCGUCGAAGUACAGAGGUCUAUGAAUGAAGACAGAAGUUGAGUUAAAAUAAAAUAGAUUUGGAAGACAUUAACUUAUAAUUGUUCAUUUAAGUCCUAGGCAUGGAUGAGAUCAAACAGGGAGAAAAUAUAGAAGAAACAAUAAAGAGGACCAAGGACAGAGCCCCGGGAAGCACUAACUUUAAAAGGGAGUGGCAGAUGAGCAGAAGCCCACACAGAAGUCUGAGAAAGAAUGGCCAGAGAGAUAAAAGAAAUAGAUGAGAGCAAUGCGUCUGAAACCAAGGUGGAAAUACAAAGUUCACGGAAUGUGGCCAAGGUCAUACUCUCAGCAGUUAAGUAGUAGGCCAAGAUUUAGACCCAGCACAGGCAUCUUCUUUCCUGCAAACCUACCCUCAGAGCCUUAGUCGGUGUACAUUAUGGGCAUUAACUCAUUUAAGCCUCAAAACAGCCCUUUAAGGCAAUGUGAAUUAUAUAACGGGCUGUUUUCUCCUUUCCCUUUGACUGCCAAGAAGCUCUGAGUAAAUUUGUGGCUCAGCAUUAGUAACUGGGAGGACCCUUGGCCUGCAUAUCUAUAUUGUGUCAGUUUGAAACUUCUCAAAAAGUUAGAAGGAAAAAUAACUUGGAUUCUUUAUUUUCUAAAUUGUUGAUAGUGUACAUUUAUUUUAUACUUAGAAAAAGUAAACUUUAUUUUUAAA
RNAcentral lists this long non-coding RNA (1494 nucleotides) under Equus caballus (horse). RNAcentral's name for it is "lncRNA (ENSECAG00000059200.1)". The record is from RNAcentral. Lineage: Eukaryota; Metazoa; Chordata; Mammalia; Perissodactyla; Equidae.